UACGGGAGGCAGCAGUGGGGAAUAUUGCACAAUGGGCGCAAGCCUGAUGCAGCCAUGCCGCGUGUAUGAAAAAGGCCUUCGGGUUGUAAAGUACUUUCAGUCGUGAGGAAGGUGUUAAGGUUAAUAACCUUAGCAAUUGACGUUAGCGACAGAAGAAGCACCGGCUAACUCCGUGCCAGCAGCCGCGGUAAUACGGAGGGUGCGAGCGUUAAUCGGAAUUACUGGGCGUAAAGGGCACGCAGGCGGUUAAUUAAGUUGGAUGUGAAAUCCCCGGGCUUAACCUGGGAAUGGCAUUCAGACUGGUUAGCUAGAGUCUUGUAGAGGGGGUAGAAUUCCAUGUGUAGCGGUGAAAUGCGUAGAGAUGUGGAGGAAUACCGGUGGCGAAGGCGGCCCCUGGACAAAGGACUGACGCUCAUGUGCGAAAGCGUGGGGAGCAAAC
This 439-nucleotide ribosomal RNA is filed under the name uncultured bacterium. Its description in RNAcentral is "bacterial SSU rRNA". It matches the Rfam family "Bacterial small subunit ribosomal RNA", at positions 340 to 773 of the family's 1533-position model. The record is from RNAcentral.